RNAcentral lists this long non-coding RNA (1041 nucleotides) under Physcomitrium patens. RNAcentral's name for it is "long non-coding RNA (PPAT_LNC013412)". The record is from RNAcentral. Lineage: Eukaryota; Viridiplantae; Streptophyta; Bryopsida; Funariales; Funariaceae.
UCUUUCAAAGGGUGCGUGGGUGGGUGGGAAGGGAGAUCUACGCACAUAAUUAUCUCUCCCUCUCUCAAUUAUCGGAUGAAACCCUAUUUUAUACACGGAUGCCCAUGUCUUGUCUGAAUAAAACUUGGGGUUUCAGGUUAACGUUCAACAGUGCCUUCGAAACAUCCUCAUUCAUCUUUUUAUUGAAGUAUUUUUUGUAGUAAAAAAACUAAGUGUUAGAAAUAGACAGUGCAAAUUAUUUAAUAUUAUGCUUGUAUGAAGCAGGAGUAGGCAUGCGGACACUGGAAUGUUAAGUGAACACAAAAUGAGGUAUUCUUGAUGUUUGCAGAUUGAUGUAAUAGUUGUAGAAAUAGAAUAGAAUAUAUUUGAAGGUUAGUAUGUAGUACUGUGGUAAAGCACCAAUUAAUAUUCAAAAUUCUUCAAGUUAAAAAAUAUCUUUUACACAAUUAUUUUCUUAUUUGUUAACCAGGUUAUUAUCUAUUGUAUUGGAUAUCAAUAAUAAAAUCAUGUUUUUACCUCCUUUUGUUAUUUGGCUCAUUGAAUUCAAAGUUUUGAUGUCGUGAUCACAUGAUGUGGAAUUUCAGAGGAGAGUACAAUUUAAUUGAUGGUUGUGUGGUCUGAAAUUGUUUGUCCUUUAAUUUUCAAUCAAAGAAUAUAAAUAUAUAUAUAUAUAUAUAUAUGUCUCUCUCUGUGUGUGUGUGUGUAGAAUUAAGGAUGAAUAUUCUGGGUCGUUUCUUUUGUGUGAUAUUCUCAUUUACAAAUCUACUUGCAUGAACAUGUUCUUAAAUUGCACCAAUUCUUCACUUUAUAAUUUGAAAACCGCAUUUAACAUAUCUUGUUUCAAAUUUUAAUAUUUGUGGAAUUGAAUAAAUUUCCUGCCAGGGAGGAAAGGGGGGUUGAGCUCAUACUAUGGUAAUUUUUUUAUUCAUCCAAAAAUGAACAACAGGCAAUUUUAACAAUUUUUAUUUUAUGUUUACUUACAAAAUUUGCAACUUAGGGUUCAAGGUCGCCCAGAUGGAUUAACCAACAAUGACAUUACAG